UCUCCCCCUACUCCGCACUUUAAAAAUUUUUAGUUAAAUCCUUGAUGUUACAUUUAAGUUCAUGUGAAUCUUUCAUCUGCAUCCAUUAAUUGGGCAUUAAUAUAUUACUAUAUGUGACCAUCAUGUUAUAACAUAUAUUUGUUCUUAGGACUAAAAUGCCCGUUAGGGUUAAGGGUGCCUCAAGACCUUCGUUCUAUCUCAAUCCUCCUCUUGUC
Molecule: long non-coding RNA, 215 nt
Filed under: Elaeis guineensis (African oil palm)
Lineage: Eukaryota; Viridiplantae; Streptophyta; Magnoliopsida; Arecales; Arecaceae
Description: long non-coding RNA (EGUI_LNC012305)
Source: RNAcentral